CACCAAACUUUGCUUAUUGUCAUGUUAUAGUCACCUAACGUUGUUUUUACAAUGAAUGGUCACUCAACUUGCUCAAAACCCCUUCCAUCCAUCACUACGCGUUCACCCGUUUGAUGUGCUUCCCAGGUGGCCAGACGGAGUUCGGAGUGACAAGAAACGGAGUCAUAACAUUGCCACGUGAAGAGUUGUGUCUCUGAAAACAACGAUUUCACCCUAAAAAUGAAAAACCCACCUUCAAAUCAACGAGCCCUAAUCUUCCAAACCUCAAACGAACCCUAUAAAUCCCUCCUAAAACUCAAGAUUCAAUCCCUCCCAAACCUCAAACGAACCUUAGAAAUCAAUUUAGGAAAACUACCUCGCUUCAUCUCUGCUACAUCAGCGAAUGGAGAAGCGUAUUAUGUGGUCGUAUGAAGCAUAUUCUUAGCGGCUAGUUGUCUGAUUUUUCUCUCUUUCCUGGGGGUGGUAGGAAUGAGAAAGCUUCUUCAUCCCUCUGAUCAGUGAAGCCUGACCACGUCUGAAGGGGUGUUGAUUCACACACAUGGAUGGAGCGGAAGGAGGUAAAUCAUUUGGCAUAUUUGAUUUUCAAUGAUUUUGCCAUCUAAAUCUUAUGUCAAAAUAUGAGCAAGCCAAAAAAAGGUUUAUAAAUUGCAUUGCUGGUAAAUGAGAGACAACUUGGAGGAAUCAUCUAUUGUUUUAUUUAACUGUAUGAUGAUCAAAUUUUUUGAUGAACCUUCAGCUUUUAGUAUUGAAUUCGAGGUGGCUUUGGUUCAGAAUUCCCAGGAGUUCCAAUUGAUGGAAUACUUCAUUAUUUUUUUUUAUUGAAUUAACUAAUCUUUGUGGAACUUUAAUUGUCUUCCCUACACGUUUUGCCUCUCUACCUUUUCCCCUGGGGAGAGUGUUGUAAUAUCUAGUAGCUUUUGAUUGAAUGCAUUCGUCUGUGGCUUUAUCAUAAUUAUUUGAUCAGUUUUUCCUCAAAUUUGUGUUUAAUUUGGUAAUAUAUUGAAAAUGCAAUUAUGGGGGAAAAUCUAUUGAUUGUUCUAAUUUUAAAAGCUACAACUUUUCUUCUUGUUUAUGUAAUCUGACAGCAGUUUUCUCUAAAAUUUAGCAAUUUUUAAAUAAUAAAGCUUCCAUUUUACUUGAAUUUUGUGAUGUUCAAUUUUUAGUGGCAUUUGUGCUUUAUUUGUUUAGGUAAUAUCUUGAAAAACUCAUUUAUUUGGAAAAAAAACUAUUAAUUGUGCAAAUUGUAAAAGUUGCAGCUUUUCUUUUUCUGCUAACAGGAAUGGUUCGAAGCUGAAUUAAAGCCAGUUGAAUCAAAUUGCAACGUAGUGGUCAGCGAGCAAGUGAGUAAAUAUCAAGUCCUUUUUUACCUCAUUUGGUACAUUUGCUCUUUGUAAUAAGACAUUUGCUGCGUUCGUUGUGUAUUCUACGACAAAUUAGUCUCGUCAAGGGGUAAGAGAUCGACGUCGAUUGAAAAUGCAUUUGAAGAACUACCAAAAAGGUUCAUGUGAACCCCCUUAGUUCAUAAGGACACAAUCACACAACCAAGGUAAGACCAGGCCCAACAGCGAAUAGACCAACAUAUUAUGAAUAAAGGAAAUUUCUACCUUUUGUCAUGGUUGUGUAUGGUGGAUUUUGAUGGUUUUUGGCCUUGAUUUUUGUCCAGAUAGUUUUGAUAAUGUUUUGCUUGAUUUUUUUAGCUAGAAUUUCAUGUGAAUGUUUGGAUGGUUGUAUAUGGUAGCUUUUGAUGCCUUUGUCUGGAUGAUGGAAGUACUUUAAGUUGGAAAUAUAUUCAUGCUUCCAAUUUCAUGUUUAUUGUUUUCGUUUAACUGAAGACAAUGCUAUACUUGAUAUUUGAUUUCAUGAUGUUGUGAUUUCUAAAGAACAAUCUCCAUUUGCCUGUGUUUGUUUGAUUUGAACUAGUUGUGUAUCAAAACUUUUCUAAUGACCUUCUUCAAAUGAUUUGAACAAUCUCCAUUUGUCUCUAUUGUGAUGUUCAUGCUCCCUUCAAUACUAGCAACUGAAGCUAAACUUUCCUGUCAUCACAGUCCAUGUUGUAGGAGUUGCUAUUGGUUGUAUAUAAGGCAGUUAAAUGGGUGUUAAAGGAAGUGAAGACAUUGCUGGUAUGCUUACAGCAAGUAGCUUACAAUCAUUUGAUAUCAAAGGGCUUGUUUGAGUAAUGCAGUUGAGCCUUUUAGAAGCUAAACGAGCUGGGGAUUAAGGUAGCUUAUGAAGUUCGCUUAUUAUAGGCAAUGACAAG
This 2257-nucleotide long non-coding RNA is filed under the name Olea europaea subsp. europaea. The record is from RNAcentral. Lineage: Eukaryota; Viridiplantae; Streptophyta; Magnoliopsida; Lamiales; Oleaceae.